This is a long non-coding RNA of Salvia miltiorrhiza (redroot sage), 1806 nucleotides long. RefSeq lists it as uncharacterized. NCBI's taxonomy places the organism in Eukaryota, Viridiplantae, Streptophyta, Magnoliopsida, Lamiales, Lamiaceae. The record is from RefSeq and is a predicted model, not a curated record. The transcript has 3 exons.
AGCACACAACGCUCAACUCUCUCUCUCGCUUAAAGCUCCUGCCGCCACCAUCAACACCAGCUGCCGCCACUUUCCACCGCCUCCAUCACCACCGCAGCUCCUCCACGGUACCACAGCAGCGGCAGCAACUGAGAACACCAGCAACCGGAAGCUACAGCAGAAACAGCAGCCGAACAGAAGCUGCAGCAGCCGUCGAGAGCAGCAGUAGCGAGCAAGCUCGGCCGCGCUGCCCCGUCGCGUCGUCGCCUCGCUUGCCGCGCCACCACCGUGAAACACCACCCUCCCUCCGUUUCCCAGAUUGGAAACUCCCUUUUUGAGCAACAGUAGCAGCGGCACAGCAGCCACUCUGCCUCAGCUCACCCCGCCUCUCCGGACUCGCCACCGGAGCUACGUCGGCCACCGUCGUCACCGACACGACCUUCCUGCACCACCACUCUCGUAAGAUCAGCCGAGAAAGCCGUGGAACAGCAAGGGAAACGUUGAUUAAAGCUCUCUGAUCUUUCGCCGAAACUUGAGCAAAAGCACGAGUCUCUUUGCCGGUUUAUUUCGUCGCCGACCGGCCACGAGGCCGCAAACCGAGAACACGUAGCCGUUCAUCUAUCUACAGGCUACCACCACCAACAAUCGAAAAGCUCAAACACUCUACAUCUCCCAAACCAAUAGCCGCAAUAUCCUCCAGCGAAACGACGUUAUUGAACGAUCUCAAGAACGUUUCUUCUCGUUCUUGGUCUCUCUCACGACCGCCUCGUCUCCUGCGACAGCCAGAGAGCAGGCCCUUUGCCGCUGGACACCGUUCACUCUUUUUCUUUGGCCCUCACAGUCGAGAAUUCAAGGAAACAACCCUUUUUUCCUUCGUUUAAAGGCUUUUGCGAACUCUCGUUCGCCAAGUUAAAUGUCGGAUAUUGAGCGAUUAGGCGAGACUCGUGGACUCAUACGAGUUGGAGACGAUCGGAAUUCGUCGUUUGCUUACGAGGCUAGGUUUGAGGAACCGAAGCACCAGAAUCUAACCACACAAAAGAAAAGAGAAAGCGAGGAUGACAGGUGGGCAUUUUCUAACCCUAAUACGUGGGCCUCGCGAACCCUCUUAUGUGGGUUAAAAAUAUAAAAUAUUUCCAAUGAAAGUUAUUAUUAUUAUUAUCUUGAAAAUGUGCUUUAUAAAUCGUUGACUUGCCAUGUUUUUGUUGAGUAAUGAUGAGAUGUAUGUUGACCUGCUACCAUGAGAUAACGAUCGGCCUUGAACUAUGUGAGCCGACGGGCUACUAGUUAAGGUAUGUGCACAGUGGUGAUUGUGAGCCGUUGUCAUGCAUCGGCCGGUCACGGGGUUGAGAAGGAAGCCUCCUUCUCUUCGCCCAUGUUGAUGAUAUUGUUGAGAUGUCAUGAUGAUGAUGAUGGGUAGAUGUGGUCCAUACACGAUAUUGUUGUCGGCUUAUGAUACGAGAAAUGAUGAUGAUUGCAUAAAUUGUUUUGUGAUAUAGCAUAUACAGGUAUUUUCUCCAUCAAAUAUUAUACCUUGUGUAUGUUCAAAAUGGGCAAGUUCAACAUAUAGCUCUAAGUAGCAAGAUUUCAAUUAUUUUCGGCAUAUGUCCACUGAGUAAUAACUAUGUUACUCAGCCCUGCAUAUAUUUCUAAAUGUGCAGGUUAGGUUGGACGGGAGAGGAGGAGAAGGAGGAGGCUUUACACUCAAGGUGGUCAUAACAUUUGAAACAUAUUCGAUGACUUAUACGAAUUUCCCAUCUUUGCUUUCUUAAUCGGAGUAAAUUUGUCAUGAUUGACUUGAAAUAAAAUUAGUAUCUUUUCUUGUUGAUA